UACGGGAGGCAGCAGUGGGGAAUAUUGCACAAUGGGCGCAAGCCUGAUGCAGCCAUGCCGCGUGUAUGAAGAAGGCCUUCGGGUUGUAAAGUACUUUCAGUCGUGAGGAAGGUGUUAAGGUUAAUAACCUUAGCAAUUGACGUUAGCGACAGAAGAAGCACCGGCUAACUCCGUGCCAGCAGCCGCGGUAAUACGGAGGGUGCGAGCGUUAAUCGGAAUUACUGGGCGUAAAGGGCACGCAGGCGGUUAAUUAAGUUGGAUGUGAAAUCCCCGGGCUUAACCUGGGAAUGGCAUUCAAGCUGGUUAGCUAGAGUCUUGUAGAGGGGGUAGAAUUCCAUGUGUAGCGGUGAAAUGCGUAGAGAUGUGGAGGAAUACCGGUGGGCGAAGGCGGCCCCUGGGACAAAGGACUGACGCUCAUGUGCGAAAGCGUGGGGAGCAAAC
RNAcentral lists this ribosomal RNA (441 nucleotides) under uncultured bacterium. RNAcentral's name for it is "bacterial SSU rRNA". It matches the Rfam family "Bacterial small subunit ribosomal RNA", at positions 340 to 773 of the family's 1533-position model. The record is from RNAcentral.